UCCACAGGUUACUGAGCCCAACAUCCCUCCCUCCACUGGGAAUCCGCUAUUUCAAACAAAUCUGGGUUCUGCCCGCCGGGUGGCGCAAUGACAGUAGCCACCAGGUGAUCCUGGUAAUUCGCGCACCUAGGUUUCCCACAACAUGCCUGACUUGUCUCCACUGAAGAAUUUAGGGCUCAUCCAUAUUGUAGUAUAAUCAACUCCAUUCCUCUUUAUGGGGAGGACAAUGUUACCACUGCAAGGGGAAGCUGAGGACAAAGGGCCCUUUGUGAGGAUGGUUCCCACCUGAGCAGCAGCACCCAGGAUCGCACCUGAUGGUGGAGCAGCCCUUCUUCUCCUUCCAGCCCCUGCACGGAGCUGGCUUCCAGAAAUGACCUGGGGAAGCUGUGCAGGCCUGAACUGACUUCCCCAAAUGACUCUGCUGGCCCAUCCCAAGCCUGGCACAUGCCAGUGAGGAGAGGCAGGGACAAGGGUUCCUAGCGAAAGACCUGGAUACAGGAUACACAGGUUUCUUCCCUCAAUCUCUAAAGUUUGAGACCUUGGGCAGAUGCUGGCCUAUGGGAGGCCUGGCAGGUGGGAAGUAUUUGUCUUAUCCAUUGCAACAUCUGUAAGGGACAUACUUCACAGCUGGGCUCCCAAGGGAGUGUUUCUGAAGAAAAAGAAAAGGAAACUUAAAAAACCAAACACUUUAUGGGAUGUAUUUAUAUGCUAGUACUGCAGUAUCGGAGAGACUGGAAGCUGGGAAGAGUCCUGGCAGCUGCAGACCAGUCCUUACCCAGGAGAGGUUCACUGCGGGUGUGGAGGUAUAAACACUAUUGGGUUGUUUGACGAGGCAAGCAUUGGUAAUUUAUAUGCCAAAGCAGCAGGAGCAA
This is a long non-coding RNA of Microtus ochrogaster (prairie vole), 872 nucleotides long. RefSeq lists it as uncharacterized. The record is from RefSeq and is a predicted model, not a curated record. The transcript has 3 exons. Lineage: Eukaryota; Metazoa; Chordata; Mammalia; Rodentia; Cricetidae.